GGAUCAUAGCUCAGGUGGUUAGAGCGCAGGUCUGAUAAACCUGAGGUCGGAGGUUCAACUCCUCCUGAUCCCAAUUCA
RNAcentral lists this transfer RNA (78 nucleotides) under Borrelia miyamotoi. RNAcentral describes it as "tRNA-Ile". It matches the Rfam family "tRNA". Rfam says of the family: Transfer RNA (tRNA) molecules are approximately 80 nucleotides in length. Lineage: Bacteria; Pseudomonadati; Spirochaetota; Spirochaetia; Spirochaetales; Borreliaceae. The record is from RNAcentral.